Molecule: long non-coding RNA, 1238 nt
Filed under: Theobroma cacao (cacao)
Lineage: Eukaryota; Viridiplantae; Streptophyta; Magnoliopsida; Malvales; Malvaceae
Description: long non-coding RNA (TCAC_LNC003803)
Source: RNAcentral
AAGUGCAAAGAUAAAGUUAGAGAACUGUGGUGGCAUGUCGGAGUAAAUAACGAGCGACCGGCCAGUGAAAAUAGUUAGAGACACCUCCGAACAAAUAGCGACUUAAAAUCUCAUUGUUGCCAAAUGAGUGAACUUGCAUUAAAAUGUCUUGGGAUAAUACACAUUUAUGUUUGAUUGAAUCGUCUAAAACGUUUUAUUGGUUUUUCUUCAAAAACUUGCACAGGAACAAGCCCUUAAGAAAUGUUUUUAUGUUAUGAAAUGGAUAGUGUGAUGAAUUCAUAUGUUUCUGUAUAAUGAUAUAUAUAUAUACUAUGUCAUAAAUGGUACCAUUGUGUGGCAAAUGCAACCGUGCAUGUGCGGAGUGGGCAGUGCACAUGUUGGUAAUGAUUCUGUCGUGAUAAUUACAACCGUGCAUGUGUGAAGUGGGCAGUGUGCAUGUCGGUAAUGAUGAUGUCGUGAUAAUUACAACCGUGCAUGUGAGGAAUGGGCAGUGCACAUGCUGAUAAUGAUGCUAUUGUUAUAAUUACAACCGUGCAUGUGCAGAGUAGGCAGUGCACAUGCCGGUGAUGAUGUACAUGAGCUGGAUGAGGUGUGGUGCUAUGUUAAUUGAUAUAUGCUUAAGCAUAUGUAUAUGCAAUAGAAAGAUUAUGAUUAUAAUAUGUGAUUAUAUGGCAUGAUAAAUCUUGAAAAUUUCCCAUUUACAUGUGAAUUGAUUUUAUUGCAACAAGAACAUUCUAUUUAUACUGCCUUGCUUGGAUGAUUGUUGGAAAUUUCCUUCCUUUUUGAUUUCCUGCUAAAUAUGGUUCCUUCAUUAUGAAAUGAUUUAAUAACCCGGGGUUGAUGGAAGGAUUUUAAUAAGAACUUGAACUAGGUUGCACUGUUUUCGAACUUAAGUGCAUCAUGAUUUCUAAAUCAUUCCUUGUAAUUGCUUGUUCCCUUCCUAUGUUCACUCACUGAGUUUAUACUCACGUUUUCAACUUCAUGUUUUCAGAUUCAAGGGUGGUUGAGACGUAGAUUGAGGUGUUCGUGUACUCCCAUCUUUUGGGCAAGUACUUUGACAUUCAGUAGUCAUAUCUCCCAUCCAGAGUCACUCCGCUGACGGUCAAGGUCUAAUCAUGUGUAUAUGAAUACUUGGUGUGAAAUAUUAAGAAUCAUUUGUUACUCUAUCUAUAAAUAUAUAGGUGGAUGAUGCCAUUAUGAAUGUAUGAUUGAGUUUUAUGAAUUAUUUUUAAACGAAC